RNAcentral lists this ribosomal RNA (253 nucleotides) under uncultured bacterium. Its description in RNAcentral is "partial 16S ribosomal RNA". It matches the Rfam family "Bacterial small subunit ribosomal RNA", at positions 524 to 776 of the family's 1533-position model. The record is from RNAcentral.
UACGUAGGGGGCUAGCGUUGUCCGGAAUCAUUGGGCGUAAAGCGCGUGUAGGCGGCCCGGUAAGUCCGCUGUGAAAGUCGGGGGCUCAACCCUCGGAAGCCGGUGGAUACUGUCGGGCUCGAGUACGGAAGAGGCGAAUGGAAUUCCCGGUGUAGCGGUGAAAUGCGCAGAUAUCGGGAAGAACACCCGUGGCGAAGGCGGUUCUCUGGGACGGUACUGACGCUGAGACGCGAAAGCGUGGGGAGCGAACAGG